RNAcentral lists this ribosomal RNA (167 nucleotides) under uncultured Bacillota bacterium. Its description in RNAcentral is "uncultured Firmicutes bacterium partial 16S ribosomal RNA". It matches the Rfam family "Bacterial small subunit ribosomal RNA", at positions 339 to 524 of the family's 1533-position model. Lineage: Bacteria; Bacillati; Bacillota. The record is from RNAcentral.
CUACGGGAGGCAGCAGUGGGGAAUAUUGCACAAUGGGCGAAAGCCUGAUGCAGCAACGCCGCGUGAGUGAUGAAGGCUUCGGGUUGUAAAACUCUGUCUUUGGGGACGAUAAUGACGGUACCCAAGGAGGAAGCCACGGCUAACUACGUGCCAGCAGCCGCGGUAAU